Non-coding RNA from Oryctolagus cuniculus (rabbit), 613 nucleotides. The record is from RefSeq and is a predicted model, not a curated record. Lineage: Eukaryota; Metazoa; Chordata; Mammalia; Lagomorpha; Leporidae.
CUGUCUCAAGUACUGAAUUCUUCACCAGGACAACUGAAGUAAUAAAAACUGACUCAGCACUGAAAAUAUCUCCCCUUCUUUCAGAGCUAAUAGUCCUCUGUACUGCCUAAGUACAUUUUUUUCUUAAAUUGUCACUAGGUGCUUUGGAGAAGCCUGAACACUUUAAAUCUCAUUCUUAAAAAUGCAACUCUUUAGAGUCCUCAGAGUAAUUAAGGGAUGUCGAAGCUGAGGGCUCCAAGAGUCGAACAGGGUGCUGAUAACAAUGACAUGAGGGCAGCAGGAAUGAACUGGGGCUCCCUCCAGCAAGUCGGGACACAGACUAUCCGCUAGACAGACACCAUCCAAACAGAGGACUCAGGGCCCGCGCUGCGGCAGAGUAGUCCCGGCUGCUCCUCUUCCGAUCCAGAUCCCUGCUACGGCCUGGGAAAGCAGUGGAGGAUGGCCCAAGUCCUUGGGCCCCUGCACCCAUGUGGGAGAUCAGCAGAAGCUCCUGGCAUUGAUCAGCCCCAGCUCCAGCUGUUGGGGAGUAAAUCAGAGGAUGGAAGACCUUCCUGUCUCUCCCUCUCUGUCUGUAACUCUUUCAAAUAAAUAAAUAAAAAUCUUUAAAAAAAAA